GACGAACGCUGGCGGCGUGCUUAACACAUGCAAGUCGAACGGAAAGGCCCUGCUUUUGUGGGGUGCUCGAGUAGCGAACGGGCGAGUAACACGUGAGUAACCUGCCCUUGACUUUGGGAUAACUUCAGGAAACUGGGGCUAAUACCGGAUAGGAGCUCCUGCUGCAUGGUGGGGGUUGGAAAGUUUCGGCGGUUGGGGAUGGACUCGCGGCUUAUCAGCUUGUUGGUGGGGUAGUGGCUUACCAAGGCUUUGACGGGUAGCCGGCCUGAGAGGGUGACCGGCCACAUUGGGACUGAGAUACGGCCCAGACUCCUACGGGAGGCAGCAGUGGGGAAUAUUGCACAAUGGGCGGAAGCCUGAUGCAGCAACGCCGCGUGCGGGAUGACGGCCUUCGGGUUGUAAACCGCUUUCGCCUGUGACGAAGCGUGAGUGACGGUAAUGGGUAAAGAAGCACCGGCUAACUACGUG
RNAcentral lists this ribosomal RNA (468 nucleotides) under uncultured bacterium. RNAcentral's name for it is "partial 16S ribosomal RNA". It matches the Rfam family "Bacterial small subunit ribosomal RNA", at positions 28 to 507 of the family's 1533-position model. The record is from RNAcentral.